RNAcentral lists this ribosomal RNA (427 nucleotides) under uncultured beta proteobacterium. RNAcentral describes it as "bacterial SSU rRNA". It matches the Rfam family "Bacterial small subunit ribosomal RNA", at positions 209 to 628 of the family's 1533-position model. Lineage: Bacteria; Pseudomonadati; Pseudomonadota; Betaproteobacteria. The record is from RNAcentral.
GACCUUGCUCUUUUGGAGCGGCCGAUGUCUGAUUAGCUAGUUGGUGGGGUAAUGGCCUACCAAAGCUUCGAUCAGUAGCUGGUCUGAGAGGACGGCCAGCCACACUGGGACUGAGACACGGCCCAGACUCCUACGGGAGGCAGCAGUGGGGAAUUUUGGACAAUGGGCGCAAGCCUGAUCCAGCCAUGCCGCGUGAGUGAAGAAGGCCUUCGGGUUGUAAAGCUCUUUCAGUCGGGAAGAAAAGGUUGCGACUAAUAAUCGCAAUUCAUGACGGUACCGGAAGAAGAAGCACCGGCUAACUACGUGCCAGCAGCCGCGGUAAUACGUAGGGUGCGAGCGUUAAUCGGAAUUACUGGGCGUAAAGGGUGCGCAGGCGGUUUUGUAAGUCAGAUGUGAAAUCCCCGGGCUUAACCUGGGAACUGCGUUU